Molecule: ribosomal RNA, 2453 nt
Filed under: Escherichia coli
Lineage: Bacteria; Pseudomonadati; Pseudomonadota; Gammaproteobacteria; Enterobacterales; Enterobacteriaceae
Description: partial 23S ribosomal RNA
Rfam family: Bacterial large subunit ribosomal RNA
Source: RNAcentral
GUAGGGCGGGACACGUGGUAUCCUGUCUGAAUAUGGGGGGACCAUCCUCCAAGGCUAAAUACUCCUGACUGACCGAUAGUGAACCAGUACCGUGAGGGAAAGGCGAAAAGAACCCCGGCGAGGGGAGUGAAAAAGAACCUGAAACCGUGUACGUACAAGCAGUGGGAGCACAGAGCAAUCUGUGUGACUGCGUACCUUUUGUAUAAUGGGUCAGCGACUUAUAUUCUGUAGCAAGGUUAACCGAAUAGGGGAGCCGAAGGGAAACCGAGUCUUAACUGGGCGUUAAGUUGCAGGGUAUAGACCCGAAACCCGGUGAUCUAGCCAUGGGCAGGUUGAAGGUUGGGUAACACUAACUGGAGGACCGAACCGACUAAUGUUGAAAAAUUAGCGGAUGACUUGUGGCUGGGGGUGAAAGGCCAAUCAAACCGGGAGAUAGCUGGUUCUCCCCGAAAGCUAUUUAGGUAGCGCCUCGUGAAUUCAUCUCCGGGGGUAGAGCACUGUUUCGGCAAGGGGGUCAUCCCGACUUACCAACCCGAUGCAAACUGCGAAUACCGGAGAAUGUUAUCACGGGAGACACACGGCGGGUGCUAACGUCCGUCGUGAAGAGGGAAACAACCCAGACCGCCAGCUAAGGUCCCAAAGUCAUGGUUAAGUGGGAAACGAUGUGGGAAGGCCCAGACAGCCAGGAUGUUGGCUUAGAAGCAGCCAUCAUUUAAAGAAAGCGUAAUAGCUCACUGGUCGAGUCGGCCUGCGCGGAAGAUGUAACGGGGCUAAACCAUGCACCGAAGCUGCGGCAGCGACGCUGAUGCGUUGUUGGGUAGGGGAGCGUUCUGUAAGCCUGUGAAGGUGUGCUGUGAGGCAUGCUGGAGGUAUCAGAAGUGCGAAUGCUGACAUAAGUAACGAUAAAGCGGGUGAAAAGCCCGCUCGCCGGAAGACCAAGGGUUCCUGUCCAACGUUAAUCGGGGCAGGGUGAGUCGACCCCUAAGGCGAGGCCGAAAGGCGUAGUCGAUGGGAAACAGGUUAAUAUUCCUGUACUUGGUGUUACUGCGAAGGGGGGACGGAGAAGGCUAUGUUGGCCGGGCGACGGUUGUCCCGGUUUAAGCGUGUAGGCUGGUUUUCCAGGCAAAUCCGGAAAACUAAGGCUGAGGCGUGAUGACGAGGCACUACGGUGCUGAAGCAACAAAUGCCCUGCUUCCAGGAAAAGCCUCUAAGCAUCAGGUAACAUCAAAUCGUACCCCAAACCGACACAGGUGGUCAGGUAGAGAAUACCAAGGCGCUUGAGAGAACUCGGGUGAAGGAACUAGGCAAAAUGGUGCCGUAACUUCGGGAGAAGGCACGCUGAUAUGUAGGUGAAGUCCCUCGCGGAUGGAGCUGAAAUCAGUCGAAGAUACCAGCUGGCUGCAACUGUUUAUUAAAAACACAGCACUGUGCAAACACGAAAGUGGACGUAUACGGUGUGACGCCUGCCCGGUGCCGGAAGGUUAAUUGAUGGGGUCAGCGCAAGCGAAGCUCUUGAUCGAAGCCCCGGUAAACGGCGGCCGUAACUAUAACGGUCCUAAGGUAGCGAAAUUCCUUGUCGGGUAAGUUCCGACCUGCACGAAUGGCGUAAUGAUGGCCAGGCUGUCUCCACCCGAGACUCAGUGAAAUUGAACUCGCUGUGAAGAUGCAGUGUACCCGCGGCAAGACGGAAAGACCCCGUGAACCUUUACUAUAGCUUGACACUGAACAUUGAGCCUUGAUGUGUAGGAUAGGUGGGAGGCUUUGAAGUGUGGACGCCAGUCUGCAUGGAGCCGACCUUGAAAUACCACCCUUUAAUGUUUGAUGUUCUAACGUUGACCCGUAAUCCGGGUUGCGGACAGUGUCUGGUGGGUAGUUUGACUGGGGCGGUCUCCUCCUAAAGAGUAACGGAGGAGCACGAAGGUUGGCUAAUCCUGGUCGGACAUCAGGAGGUUAGUGCAAUGGCAUAAGCCAGCUUGACUGCGAGCGUGACGGCGCGAGCAGGUGCGAAAGCAGGUCAUAGUGAUCCGGUGGUUCUGAAUGGAAGGGCCAUCGCUCAACGGAUAAAAGGUACUCCGGGGAUAACAGGCUGAUACCGCCCAAGAGUUCAUAUCGACGGCGGUGUUUGGCACCUCGAUGUCGGCUCAUCACAUCCUGGGGCUGAAGUAGGUCCCAAGGGUAUGGCUGUUCGCCAUUUAAAGUGGUACGCGAGCUGGGUUUAGAACGUCGUGAGACAGUUCGGUCCCUAUCUGCCGUGGGCGCUGGAGAACUGAGGGGGGCUGCUCCUAGUACGAGAGGACCGGAGUGGACGCAUCACUGGUGUUCGGGUUGUCAUGCCAAUGGCACUGCCCGGUAGCUAAAUGCGGAAGAGAUAAGUGCUGAAAGCAUCUAAGCACGAAACUUGCCCCGAGAUGAGUUCUCCCUGACUCCUUGAGAGUCCUGAAGGAACGUUGAAG